Molecule: long non-coding RNA, 834 nt
Filed under: Anas platyrhynchos platyrhynchos (common mallard)
Lineage: Eukaryota; Metazoa; Chordata; Aves; Anseriformes; Anatidae
Description: lncRNA (ENSAPLG00000022058.1)
Source: RNAcentral
AUACUGAGGCCAAGCAGGGACACCUGUGAAGCAGCCUGGCUAAGAGAGGUAGCUGAGGCUCUGGGAGCUUUGGGCUGGGCCUGCCCAGAUCUAGGGGUUGCCUACAGCAAACCAUGGUUGAGGGAGAAGAACGAGACUGGAAGUCCUAGCAACCUCUGGAGGAGAAGCAGGAGCCCACGCAGGGAUAUACUUCUGCAACUGCAGGAAAAUGCAUUGAAAAGCCUUGGUCCAGAAAGAGUCACACCGUUACUGACGGAGCUGCGAGCGGUGACAGCCUGGUUGUUCUGCUGCCAGAUCAAUACCAUUUUCUGUAAGGCUACGGCAUUCCUGACAGCACGGUCUGGCCCUACCAGCUGCUGCAAACUAACAGCUCAGCCGUCGCUGAGGAAUACUGGCUGUUUCCAUACCUCUGCACAGCACCUGCAGCAGCGUUCAGCGCCUCCACCCCCUCACCUGCCCUCCCGAGAAGCAAGGCUAUGCUUGUUAGCUGUGCUAUGGCCCCAAGCUCCUCCUGCCUUCAUAAAUCCUGCAUGUUUUCAGGGACCCAGGACAGAGAUGUUGAGGAGGAAGUUGCAAGCACACCCACAGAUAACAGAGCUUGAAAGAAUUCCAGGAAUUGCAAUUAGGUCCCUGCUGUCCUCUAAGAGGAUGAAUGUUUGCCUGAGGGGCCUGCCCUGGAAGCAGGUGGCAGUCCUGCUGAGAAAGGUUUCAGUGAAAGCUCCCGGCAUGUGGAGGCAGGCUCUCGAGGGAAGCAGCUCCUUUUUUCCAAGGAAAGCUCAUUUAGGAUAUGGACUACGUCAUCCUGCAAGAGGAAUUCAAGGAGUGGCCACCUGA